UACGUAGGUGGCAAGCGUUGUCCGGAAUUAUUGGGCGUAAAGCGCGCGCAGGCGGUCCCUUAAGUCUGAUGUGAAAGCCCACGGCUCAACCGUGGAGGGUCAUUGGAAACUGGGGGACUUGAGUGCAGAAGAGGAAAGUGGAAUUCCAUGUGUAGCGGUGAGAUGCGUAGAGAUGUGGAGGAACACCAGUGGCGAAGGCGACUUUCUGGUCUGUAACUGACGCUGAGGCGCGAAAGCGUGGGGAGCAAACAGG
Molecule: ribosomal RNA, 253 nt
Filed under: uncultured bacterium
Lineage: Bacteria
Description: partial 16S ribosomal RNA
Rfam family: Bacterial small subunit ribosomal RNA
Source: RNAcentral